Molecule: ribosomal RNA, 497 nt
Filed under: uncultured bacterium
Lineage: Bacteria
Description: partial 16S ribosomal RNA
Rfam family: Bacterial small subunit ribosomal RNA
Source: RNAcentral
GAUGAACGCUGGCGGCGUGCCUAAUACAUGCAAGUCGAGCGAACAGACGAGGAGCUUGCUCCUCUGACGUUAGCGGCGGACGGGUGAGUAACACGUGGAUAACCUACCUAUAAGACUGGGAUAACUUCGGGAAACCGGAGCUAAUACCGGAUAAUAUAUUGAACCGCAUGGUUCAAUAGUGAAAGACGGUUUUGCUGUCACUUAUAGAUGGAUCCGCGCCGCAUUAGCUAGUUGGUAAGGUAACGGCUUACCAAGGCAACGAUGCGUAGCCGACCUGAGAGGGUGAUCGGCCACACUGGAACUGAGACACGGUCCAGACUCCUACGGGAGGCAGCAGUAGGGAAUCUUCCGCAAUGGGCGCAAGCCUGACGGAGCAACGCCGCGUGAGUGAUGAAGGUCUUCGGAUCGUAAAACUCUAUUAUUAGGGAAGAACAAAUGUGUAAGUAACUAUGCACGUCUUGACGGUACCUAAUCAGAAAGCCACGGCUAACUACGUG